ACUAUCUAUUGAGGAGGUGCAGGGGGUCCUCUAGUCUCUCGAUAAGGCCAAGAUUUCAAGCUAGAUGGAUUUCCUCCUCUCUUUUCAUAGGUACCGACCUAUCAUCGAUGGAGGGUGGUUAAGAUAGUGUAGAUAGUUUUUGAUUCUAAUGGCAUUUCGGAGGAGUGGAAGAAGAUGUUGAUCAUCCUCAUCCUAAAGAGACCUAAUGCAUUGGCCCUAGGGCACUUCAAGCUAAUCACUCUUUGUACCACUCUUAUAAAAUGUGUAUAAGGAUCC
RNAcentral lists this long non-coding RNA (276 nucleotides) under Elaeis guineensis (African oil palm). RNAcentral describes it as "long non-coding RNA (EGUI_LNC063031)". Lineage: Eukaryota; Viridiplantae; Streptophyta; Magnoliopsida; Arecales; Arecaceae. The record is from RNAcentral.